This is a non-coding RNA of Nerophis lumbriciformis (worm pipefish), 429 nucleotides long. Lineage: Eukaryota; Metazoa; Chordata; Actinopteri; Syngnathiformes; Syngnathidae. The record is from RefSeq and is a predicted model, not a curated record.
GGGAAAGUUGAUUAAUGAGAGUGAGUCGACUUCAGCCGGUUGUCGAAACUAAACUCCCCUCUAUGUCUUUAUUUGUGCAUGGAGCAGGGACAUAGAGACGAAUUAGAGGACGAUGGAGUCACGUUGAUACAUUUUGCCGUACUAUAAAGGGUGUACCGGACUCUCACCCAAAGUUUGCUUGGCUACACUUUGGCUCACCAGUGACCCCAAAUAAGUGGACUGCUGAGAAGUCUACCACGAACAAAGUCAUUGGUCCUAAUUGAAGGUGAGGGGCAGUUCUUUUCUUUUCAUGUCUUGUCUCACUCUUCUUUGUUUUUAUUGGUUUUGACCUCACUACCAAUUAAUUACAAUGACGUCAGCAAUACCAAACGAACGGAUUUUACACACAAAUAACCCCUUUGGGUCCUGAAUUUUAUCUAGACAGAAAUG